RNAcentral lists this ribosomal RNA (508 nucleotides) under uncultured bacterium. RNAcentral describes it as "partial 16S ribosomal RNA". It matches the Rfam family "Bacterial small subunit ribosomal RNA", at positions 899 to 1397 of the family's 1533-position model. The record is from RNAcentral.
ACUCAAAUGAAUUGACGGGGACCCGCACAAGCGGUGGAACAUGUGGUUUAAUUCGAAGCAACGCGAAAAACCUUACCAGGGCUUGACAUCUAACAAACCUCAGCGAAAGUUGAGGGUGCUCUUCGGAGAAUGUUAAGACAGGUGGUGCACGGUUGUCGUCAGCUCGUGUCGUGAGAUGUUGGGUUAAGUCCCGCAACGAGCGCAACCCUCGUCGUUAGUUGCAUAUGGUGGUACACUGCCAUAGUGCUCUCUAGCGAGACUGCCGGUGAUAAACCGGAGGAAGGUGAGGAUGACGUCAAAUCAUCAUGCCCCUUAUGCUCUGGGCUACACACGUGUUACAAUGGCUGGUACAACGAGCUGCCAACUCGCGAGAGUGAGCAAAUCUCUUAAAACCAGUCUCAGUUCGGAUUGCAGUCUGUAACUCGACUGCAUGAAGUCGGAAUCGCUAGUAAACGCAGAUCAGCAUGCUGCGUUGAAUACGUUCCCGGGUCUUGCACACACCGCCCGU